Oncorhynchus masou masou (cherry salmon) is the source of this 6568-nucleotide long non-coding RNA. RefSeq lists it as uncharacterized. NCBI's taxonomy places the organism in Eukaryota, Metazoa, Chordata, Actinopteri, Salmoniformes, Salmonidae. The transcript is spliced from 2 exons. The record is from RefSeq and is a predicted model, not a curated record.
GGUGGCAAAGAGGAUAAAAUAAACACAGAUUAUGCUACAGUUGGGACUCCAGAUAAUGGUCAAGCAGGUGGUGAAGAGCAGGUGUCUCCAGGUCCAACAACAUCCACCAUCUACAGUACGGUGGGACUACCCCAAACCCAGCCUGUGAACAACCAGCCUUUGCCUGUGGACCACCCAUGACCCCCAUGACCUCCAUGCCUUUUAAAUGUUCCCAUGUUCGUGUAGACAUUAAAAUAAAAAUGGUCACAUACAGGUGUAGACUAACAGUGAAAUGCUUACUUACAGGCCCUUCCCAACAAUGCAGAGAGAAAGAAAAUAGAGAAAUAAUGGAAAAGUAAAAAUCCUAUGAAUUAAUAAAUAAAUAAUAAAAACACCGUGAGUACAGAUAACUAUAUACCCGGGGUACCAGUACCCAGUCGAUGUGCCGGGGUACAAGGUAAUUGAGGUAGAUAUGUACAUAUAGGUAGGGGUAAAGUGACAGACAAUAAAACAGGAGCAGGAGCAUGUGUGAUGAGUCAAAAAAGGGUCAAUGUAGAUAGUCGCUAUUUAACUGUUUAGCAGUCUUAUGGCUUGGGGGUUGAAGCUGUUCAAGGUCCUGUUGGUUCCAGACUUGAUGCAUUGUUUUUAGUGACUUCCUGAUACUGCCUGGUAUAGAGUACCUGGAUGGCUCUGAGGGCCCAUGUCAAAUCUUUUCAGCCUCCUGAAUGGGAAGAGGCGUUGUGGUGCCCUCUUCACGACUGUGAUGUUGUAUUUGGACCAUGAUAUAUCCUUAGUGAUGUGGACAACAAGGAACUUGAAGCUCUCAACCCGCUCCACCACAGCCCGUCGAUAUGAAUGAGGGUGUGCUCGUCCUGUAAUCCUGUAUGUAAUUCCUGUAUCUUACCUCAUUUGCACUCACUGUAUAUAGACUUUUUGUUUUCUUUUGUUCUACUGUAUUAUUGACUGUAAGUUUUGUUUAUUCCAUGUGUAACUCUGGGUGGUUGUAUGUGUCGAAUUGCUAUGCUUUAUCUUGGCCAGGUCGCAGUUGCAAAUGAGAACUGUUCUCAACUAGCCUACCUGGUUAAAUAAAGGUGAGCUCUGUCUUGCUCAUGUAGAGGGAGCGGUUGUUGUCCUGGCAUCACACUGCUAGGUCUCUGACCUCUUCCAUAUAGGCUGUCUCAUCAGUUACAGACUGGGUCGGGGAGAUGUUGAAAAUGUCAGUGAAGACCAAGGGUUGGAACCGGUUCAGGGAACAGAACUGAGAACCGCAUUUUUCCAGUCCCACAGAAAUUGUAACAAAUCACUUACGUAAAAUCCUCACUCUGUCACUCAGUGUCUGCCUGCCAGCUGGAAAUCUUUACCAGUGUGUAUGUAUAUGUAGGCUACCUGCCCCUACACUCUGAAGCAUAGGUUACUGUAGCUUACUGACAUUACAAGCGUAAUUCAGAAAUGAGGGAAAGAUGUUUAAUUAGAGAAGAAGAUUAACUUUGUCAACGCUUUUAUCACGUUUCACGUUAAAUUUAUGAACUUCAAAAACUUAAGAUGUGUGUUUAAUUCUAGUGCUGCUCGGCACACACAAGCUGACGUUUGCUCUUGCCCAACGUUAAACCAACUUGGAAGUUCAAAGACAUUCAAAUGUUCCUCUGCAGAAGCCGCUCCUCCGUAGGUAUAAUUCUGUGGAACUAAUUCAGAUAAUGCACGUCAAGAUGCCCAGUGCUUCAAGGCAAGCUUCCUGCAUUCUUUUCCCUCACAUUCAACAUUUCAGUUCCAUCUCGCGCCCUUCACUGUGACUGGCAGCACAGUGUGUUUGUCUUUCAUUAUGAUUAAGCCAUGCUGUUAUGGCAAAAUACAAUUUGUUCUGAAUGACCUUCCUAUACAGAUUAAAUCGUUUACCCGCUCCACAUCAAGCUGCUCUAUCUGCACUGAUUGUUUAAGUAAUGUAAUGUCAAGCAAAAUGUAUAUUUCAGAUGUUUAAAAUGGAACUAAAAAACAGUUCUUGCUUUGUCAUUAUGGAAUAUUGGGUGGUAUUGUUAUGGGUUAUUAUGGGGUAUUGUGGGUUGAUUGAUAAGGGGAAAAAACGAUUUAAUCAAUUUUAGAAUAAGGCUGUAACGUAACAAAAUGUGUAAAAAGUCAAGGGGUCUGAAUACUUUCCAAAUGCAUUGCACGCUCCAUGGGAGCAACCAAUGUCUUAGACUAUUAGACCAAUAGGAAAUUCCCAGUUGGGCUGAGGGCAAACACUGGUUUUGAAGUUUAAAGGUGGUAUUACCUCAUCACGACACCAUGACCGACUCAUGUCCGUUGCACGAACAUAGAAGGCAUUUAGCUCCUCUGGUUGGCUCGCAUCACUGGGCAGCUCACGGCUGUGCAGCUCACGGCUGUCAUCCAUGAUGGUUUGCAAACCCAGCCGCAUCUGACGAGCGUCAGAACCGGUGUGGUAGGAUUCGAUCUUAGUCCUUUACUGACACUUUGCCAAUUUGAUGGUUUGCCUGAGGAUUUAGUGGGAUUUCUUAUAAGUGUCCAGACUAGUAUCCCGCUCCUUGAAAGCGGCAGCACUAGCCUUUAUCUCAGUGCGGAUGUUGCCUGUAAUCCAUGGCUUCUGGAUGGAAUAUGUACGAACGGUUACGGUGGGGACGACGUUGUCGAUGCACUUAUUAUUGAAGUUGAUGACUGAUGUGGUAAACUCCUCAAUGCCAUCAGAUAAAUCCCAGAACAUAUUCCAGUCUGUGCUAACGAAAGAGUCCUGAAGCUUAGCAUCCAUUUCAUCUGACCACUUCCCUAUUGAAAGUGUCACUGGUACUUCUUGUUUGAGUUAUUGCUUGUAAGCAGGAAACAGGAGGAUAUAGUUAUGGUCAGAUUUGCCAGAAAGGUGGUCUAGAGUGUUUCACUCUAGCAGGUGACAUGCUGAUAGAAAUGAGGUAAGGCAGAUUUCAGUUUCCCUGCAAUAAAAUCACCAGCCACUAGGAGUGCCGCCUCUGGACGAGCAUGUUCUUGUUUGCUUAUGCCCUUAUACAGUUCGUUGACUGCGGUCUUUGUGCCAGCAUUGUUUUUAUGGUGGUAAAUCGAGAGCAACGAAAAAUUGAUAAAAACUAUCUUGAUAGUAUGUUCUUGACUGCAUAUGUUCUACAGCUUAUCAUGAGGUAUUCUAACUCAGAACCUUGAGACUUCCUUGAUAUUAGAGAUAGCACAACAGCUGUUGUUAACAAGGACACACACCCCUGCCCUUGAGCUAACGAGAUGCUGCUAAUAUGGAAUCAUGUAAUAACCAAAAAAUUGUUAAACAAAUCCAAAUUUGAGAUUCUUCAAUUUAGCCACCUUUUACCUUGAUGACAGCUUUGCACACUCUUGGCAUUCUCUAAACCAGCUUCAUGAGGUAGUCACCUGGAAUGCAUUUCAAUUAACUUGUUUAAAGUUCAUUUGUGGAACUUAUUUCCUUCUUAAUGCGUUUGAGCCAAUCAGUUGUGUUGUGACAAGGUAGGGUUCGUAUGAAGAAAAUAGCCCUGUUUGGUAAAAGACCAAUUCCAUAUUAUGUUAUGUUAAGAACAGCUCCAAUAAUAAGCAAAGAAAAACAACAGUCCAUCAUUACUUUAAGACAUGAAAUUUUAAGAACUUUGAAUUUUCUUCAAGUGCAGUUGCAAAAACCAUUAAGUGCUAUGAUGAAAUUGGCUCUCAUGAGGGCCGCCACUGGAAAGGAAGACCCAGAGUUACCUCUGCUGCAGAGGAUAAGUCCCUUAGAGUUAACUGCACCUCAGAUUGCAGCCCAAAUCAAUGCUUCACCGAGUUCAAGUAACAGACACAUCUAAAAUUAAAUUAUCAUAGGAGACUGCGUGAAUCAGGCUUUCAUGGUUGAAUUGCUGCAAAGAAACCACUACUUAAGGACACCAAUAAGAAGAAGAGACUCGCUUGUUCCAAGAAAUACAAGCAACGAACAUUAGACCGGUGGAAAUCUUUCCUUUGGUCUGUUGAGUACAAAUUUUGCGGUUUUGGAACCAACCGCCAUGUCUUUGUGUGACGCAGAGUAGGUGAAUGGAUGAUUUGUGCAUGUGUGGUUCUAACCGUGGUUCUAACCGUGAAGCAUGGAGGAGGAGCUGGGAUGGUGUGGGAGUGCUUUGCUGGUGACACUGUCUGUGAUUAUUUAGAGUUCAUGGCACACUUAACCAGCAUGGCUACAAAGUAUUCUGCAGUGAUACGCCAUCCCAUCAGGUUUGCACUUUGUCCCACUAUCAUUUGUUUUUCAACAGUACAAUGACCCAAAACACACCUCCAGGCUGUGUAAGGGCUAUAUGACCAAGGAAAGUGAUGGAGUGCUGCAUCAGAUGACCUGGCCUCCCCAAUUACCCGACCUCAACCAAUUGAGAUGGAUUGGGAUGAGUUGGACCGGAGCGUGAAGGCAAGUGCUCAGCAUAUGUGGGAACUCCUUCAAGACUGUCGAAAAAGCAUUCUAGGUGAAGCUGGUUGAGAGAAUGCCAAGAGUGUGCAAAGCAGUGAUCAAGGCAAAAGGUGGCUAUUUAAUGUAUCUAAAAUAUAUUUGGAUUUAUUUAACACUUUUUUGGUUACUACAUGAUUAACCAUGGCCCUCAGCAACCCACCAAACCAACAGUGUUUGUUUCUGGGAAGUUCCUGUUUCAGGCUUGUGUGGUUAAAGUCCCAUGUAGAAACCAGGUGUUUCCUUUCAACCAUAGUGAUUCGGUUUAGCUAGUAUCUGUUGCGCCGUAUAUGCACACAGGCACUCGACACGAGGCAAACACCAGCCAAGAUGACUUAUAGGCAACUUCACGGGUUGAGUAAAAAGGCUUGCUGUUGACAAUAGAUUCUAGGAGUUGAAAAAGAUCUGGAAUUCCACUAAUGAUGAUGAUUAUAAUAAUAAUAGGUCUAUGUUGUCUGCGGCGAGGAGAGAAGGGCAGAAGUGAUUUGGACUUCUGCCAAGAGUAAGGAGAGAAGAGAAAGCAAUAAAUAUUUCCUCUCUUGUCUGUCAAGGAACUUUCAGAACAAAUGGACUGUUGCCUGUGAAAAGGGAUCCUCAAAGACAGUCAAGCCCACUCACACUGUACAUGCAAGCAUCCACCCACAGUACACACACUUUAGGUCACAGCUGGCAGAAUGACCACAUACCCGCGCAGGACAUAUACACACUUAUAUUUACACGUUCAUAUUUACAAACUCGUACAAUUACACACAAUGGUUAUAUGUGGACAGGCAAAUGGCAUCUCAGGGGAAAAUACACAUGCCUAAUUACACACACACACACACACACACACACACACACACACACACACACACACACACUCCGACACACACACAUUCCGACACACACACAUUCCGACACACACACAUUCCGACACACACACACAUUCAGACACACACACACACACACAUAUGCAAAUAGAAACACGCAGAAUAAAUUAACUUACACAAUACUGAUGGGUUAACCUCUUACUGCAGUGGGCUAAAUCAGGGUCACACAGAGUGUUUCUUGGUCGUCUUAAACCAAUCUACUUUAAAAAGUAUACACCUCACACACAUGGUUAUGGGCUUAAAUAAGAGAAGACAUUUACAUUUUGAGUUUCCAUCCCAAUAAUACACUUUAUAUACAACACAGAGGUUUGAAAAUUAACAAAACUGUUUGAGAUAGAAACAUCGGACUUUCAUCAUAAAUAAAUGUUUAUUUAUUAUGAAAUUCAGAAAAAUAUGAAUAACAUUCCACCAUGUGGCCACUAGAGGGUGAUUCGCUCAUUUUACUGAAGGUCUACUGCAUGCCUGCAUGACUGUAAGUCGCUUUGAAUAAAAGUCUCCUCAUUAGAUUAUAUUCUUUAUGAACAAGUGAUUAAACGAUUAAAAUACAUGAAUGACCAGAAGUGACAUUCAGCUAAAUAUAGGUUUGAAUGAGUACAUAAGGCUGUUUAGACAGGCAACCCAAUUCUGAUAUUUUCUUCACUCAUUUUACUUUUUACCAAUCACAUCAAAUCUUAUCACAUCAGACAUUUUUCAGAACUGAUUUGAUUGGUCAAAUGACCAAUUAGUGGAAAGAAAUACCAGAAUUGGGCUCCCUGUCUAAACGCAGCCAAACAGAGAAUUUUUGUAGAAAGGAAGAUAUGUUGUUGGCGGGGAUGGGACCGUGGAGCUGUCACUGAGAAAAGACUUCUUUAUGGCUCAACAGAUUUUAUUAUUUUUGUUUUAUUAUAUAUGUUUUAUAUUUUUAUAGUGUGAUACGUUUUUUUUUGCCCUUGAUUAUUGUAUUGCUUUGAAUUGUUUUAAAUAUAAUAUUUAAAAGGAAUCAUUAGGAUCUCUUUAUUGAAAAGUAUUUUCAAAGUAAUUUUGUUAGUUGUCUUUUUACUCUGAGAACCAUUUCAGCAAUACCGUAUUGUAGUUUUAAAAGGUAAGAUUUUUUUCUUGUUAUUAAUGCUUCUCAUUUAGUUGUAAUAGACAUAAACUGUGUAUUGGUAGUCCUAUAGUGAUGUGAGCUAAAGGAAGCUAAAAUAAUGUCAUAUACAUGUAUCUACAUUUAUCAUGCUUGUGUGAUUUUUGUGAUAAAACAGGGACUAUUUUAAGCUUGUCUGGAAUCUUGAAUAAAACUCAGUUCUGUUGUUCAGGA